This 457-nucleotide ribosomal RNA is filed under the name Campylobacter gracilis. Its description in RNAcentral is "bacterial SSU rRNA". It matches the Rfam family "Bacterial small subunit ribosomal RNA", at positions 29 to 500 of the family's 1533-position model. Lineage: Bacteria; Pseudomonadati; Campylobacterota; Epsilonproteobacteria; Campylobacterales; Campylobacteraceae. The record is from RNAcentral.
AGUGAACGCUGGCGGCGUGCCUAAUACAUGCAAGUCGAACGGAAUUUAAAAGAGCUUGCUCUUUUGAAUUUAGUGGCGCACGGGUGAGUAAUAUAUAGCUAAUCUGCCCCUUGCUGGAGGACAACAGUUAGAAAUGACUGCUAAUACUCCAUACUCCUUUUUACCAUAAGAUAAAUCGGGAAAGAAUUUCGGCAAGGGAUGAGACUAUAUCGUAUCAGCUAGUCGGUGGGGUAACGGCCUACCGAGGCUAUGACGCGUAACUGGUCUGAGAGGAUGAUCAGUCGCAUUGGAACUGAGACACGGUCCAAACUCCUACGGGAGGCAGCAGUAGGGAAUAUUGCGCAAUGGGGGAAACCCUGACGCAGCAACGCCGCGUGGAGGAUGACACUUUUCGGAGCGUAAACUCCUUUUGUUAGGGAAGAAUAAUGACGGUACCUAACGAAUAAGCACCGGCUAA